Molecule: ribosomal RNA, 467 nt
Filed under: uncultured bacterium
Lineage: Bacteria
Description: partial 16S ribosomal RNA
Rfam family: Bacterial small subunit ribosomal RNA
Source: RNAcentral
GACGAACGCUGGCGGCGUGCUUAACACAUGCAAGUCGAACGGCAAGGCCCUGCUUUUGUGGGGUGCUCGAGUGGCGAACGGGUGAGUAACACGUGAGUAACCUGCCCUUGACUUUGGGAUAACUUCAGGAAACUGGGGCUAAUACCGGAUAGGAGCUCCUGCUGCAUGGUGGGGGUUGGAAAGUUUCGGCGGUUGGGGAUGGACUCGCGGCUUAUCAGCUUGUUGGUGGGGUAGUGGCUUACCAAGGCUUUGACGGGUAGCCGGCCUGAGAGGGUGACCGGCCACAUUGGGACUGAGAUACGGCCCAGACUCCUACGGGAGGCAGCAGUGGGGAAUAGUGCACGAUGGGCGGAAGCCGGAUGCAGCAACGCCGCGUGCGGGAUGACGGCCGUCGGGUUGUAAACCGCUUGCGCCUGUGACGAAGCGUGAGGGACGGUAAUGGGUAAAGAAGCACCGGCUAACUACGU